AGACUCUGUGCGCGUGCAUAUCAAUAAGCGGAGGAAAAGAAACUAACAAGGAUUCCCCUAGUAACGGCGAGUGAAGCGGGAAGAGCUCAAAUUUGAAAUCUUCAAGGUUCUACCUUGACGAAUUGUAGUUUAUAGAAGUGUUUUCUGUUAGUAGAGUGGCAAAAGUUCUUUGGAAUAGGACAUCAUAGAGGGUGAGAAUCCCGUAUUUGGUCAUUCUUUCUAGCUUUGUGAUACACUUUCAACGAGUCGGAUUGUUUGGGAAUGCAGUCCAAAAUGGGUGGUAAAUUUCAUCUAAAGCUAAAUAUUGGCGAGGGACCGAUAGCGAACAAGUACCGUGAGGGAAAGAUGAAAAGAACUUUGAAAAGAGAGUUAAACAGUACGUGAAAUUGUCAAAAGGGAAGCGUUUGACACCAGUGUUGUUUUCUCGAAAAUCAAUUAAAAAGAGUUGGAUUUUGUAUUGUUAAGACCUUAUCAGCUUACUGUACUUUUUUCUUGCUCUUUUUAAUGCACUUUUCGUUUAACAAGUCAACAUCAAUUUCUUUUGUUGUAAAAGGGUCAUGAGGAAGAUGGCUUUCUUUUCGGAGAAAGUGUUUAUAGCCUUGUGCCUCUGCAAUCGGAGAGAUUGAGGUCUGCAGCGUAGAUCCUUCGGGGUUAGAUACGGUUAGCUGCUAAGUUAUAGCUUUUUCAUAGACAACUUGUUGACUAUGAUUUAAUCAUUGUAGCUUACUCGCUUAUGCUAUUUUACCUACGCUUAGGAUGUUGACAGCAGUAUAGACUGU
Molecule: ribosomal RNA, 779 nt
Filed under: uncultured Neocallimastigales
Lineage: Eukaryota; Fungi; Neocallimastigomycota; Neocallimastigomycetes; Neocallimastigales
Description: partial large subunit ribosomal RNA
Rfam family: Eukaryotic large subunit ribosomal RNA
Source: RNAcentral